RNAcentral lists this ribosomal RNA (497 nucleotides) under uncultured bacterium. RNAcentral describes it as "partial 16S ribosomal RNA". It matches the Rfam family "Bacterial small subunit ribosomal RNA", at positions 28 to 507 of the family's 1533-position model. The record is from RNAcentral.
GAUGAACGCUGGCGGCGUGCCUAAUACAUGCAAGUCGAGCGAACAGACGAGGAGCUUGCUCCUCUGACGUUAGCGGCGGACGGGUGAGUAACACGUGGAUAACCUACCUAUAAGACUGGGAUAACUUCGGGAAACCGGAGCUAAUACCGGAUAAUAUAUUGAACCGCAUGGUUCAAUAGAGAAAGACGGUUUUGCUGUCACUUAUAGAUGGAUCCGCGCCGCAUUAGCUAGUUGUUAAGGUAACGGCUUACCAAGGCGACGAUGCGUAGCCGACCUGAGAGGGUGAUCGGCCACACUGGAACUGAGACACGGUCCAGACUCCUACGGGAGGCAGCAGUAGGGAAUCUUCCGCAAUGGGCGAAAGCCUGACGGAGCAACGCCGCGUGAGUGAUGAAGGUCUUCGGAUCGUAAAACUCUGUUAUUAGGGAAGAACAAAUGUGUAAGUAACUAUGCACGUCUUGACGGUACCUAAUCAGAAAGCCACGGCUAACUACGUG